This 465-nucleotide ribosomal RNA is filed under the name uncultured bacterium. RNAcentral's name for it is "partial 16S ribosomal RNA". It matches the Rfam family "Bacterial small subunit ribosomal RNA", at positions 338 to 795 of the family's 1533-position model. The record is from RNAcentral.
CCUACGGGAGACAGCAGUAGGGAAUUUUCGUCAAUGGGCGCAAGCCUGAACGAGCGAUGCCGCGUGAGUGAAGAAGGCCUUCUGGUCUUAAAGCUCUGUUUCGGGGGAAAAAAGGCAGCAUCAGUAUAUGGGUGCUAACUGAUGGUGCCCCUCCAGAAAGUCACGGCUAACUACGUGCCAGCAGCCGCGGUAAUACGUAGGUGGCGAGCGUUAUCCGGAAUGUUUGGGCGUAAAGGGUGCGCAGGCGGUCCUGCAAGUCUGGAGUGAAACGCAUGAGCUCAACUCAUGCAUGGCCUUGGAAACUGGAGGACUAGAGAGCAGGCGAGGGAGGCGGAAGUCAAGGUGUAGCGGUAAAAUGCGUAGAUAUAUGGAAGAACACCAGUGGCGAAGGCGGCCGACUGGCCUGUUGCUGACGCUGAGGCACGAAAGCGUGGGGAGCAAACAGGAUUAGAUACCCGGGUAGUC